This 207-nucleotide long non-coding RNA is filed under the name Ananas comosus (pineapple). RNAcentral's name for it is "long non-coding RNA (ACOM_LNC035734)". Lineage: Eukaryota; Viridiplantae; Streptophyta; Magnoliopsida; Poales; Bromeliaceae. The record is from RNAcentral.
AACAUGAUUCUAAAAUCUAUAAUUAAGUAUGAAUCACCAUAAACAAGAUUUAAAGCUUACCUAAGCAUCGUGAUUCAUGUUUUACGUGUUUUGCGUCCUUUCUGAUUCUUCGAAGUCUUGGAUUCUUCGAUCUUCAAUACUCCGCUCCGGACUUCUUCAAGACUCCGACUCGACCCACGAAACUUGCCAACACAUAGGACCUAACAA